This 936-nucleotide long non-coding RNA is filed under the name Pan troglodytes (chimpanzee). RNAcentral describes it as "long non-coding RNA NONPTRT016459". The record is from RNAcentral. Lineage: Eukaryota; Metazoa; Chordata; Mammalia; Primates; Hominidae.
GGGCCUCAGCCAGGGCCCCACAGUUUGGGUUAAAAGUCCAGCUGCCAUCUUUUCUCUCUCUGACGCAUGCAAUGGAAAAGGCUUUAUCAGAUCGGGUAGCCCCAGGGCUGGGGCUGCCAGAAAUUUUCCUUUAACUAAUGAAAGACUUGCUGUUGUUGGGAUCCCCAUUUCAAAGGUUCCGGGUCUCCACCCCCUUUGUGACCUCAUACAAAGGCUUGGCUAAUACUGCAAAGUUUGGGAUCCACAGUUUACAAAACCCCACAGCUCCUAAGAAUUCUCUCACCUGCCUUCUGCCCUUAAGCUCUGGUAGAUUGCAAAUAACCUGCUUUCUUUCUGUUCCGGAGCUGGGUUCGGACCCCUCUCGUAUUGGAAAUCCCACACAAGACAGAAAGACAACAGGUACAAAGCCCUAAGGAUUAUAAAGGUAUGCUGCUUACCAUCAUCUUUGUGACCAAGGCAGCGAAGCUGUUUCUGUACCUUGGAACAGUCUUCCCUGACAAGCCAGAGAACAGCGAUAAAGCCACCAGCCUUGGGAUCAGGACUGAAAAGGCAAGAGUGAUGGAGAUUUCUCCUGCGCUAAGCCAAGAGAAGGUUUCAGCACCUCAGACAGCUCCCACCGAAGUAGCCGCGCUCCCAGCUGCUUGCAGAUGUUGAAAAGGAAAGCCUCGGUUUGUCUUGAGGUUGUCAGCAGUUGCAAGACACGUAAUAAAAUGCAAUGUGUUCCUAAUUCAUUGCAUAUCCUCAGCUUUAAAUUUGGGUAGCAAAAUGAUUACUCUAGAUUCUUCAGCCUUGGCAAGUAUCUGUACCUAAAAAGCAGUUUUUCUACCUAAUGUCUUUUUUUGUUUUUGUUUUUCAAUACACCUUAAGCAAAUUGAAGCUUUUGUUCCUGGAGGAAAAGUGGUUUGAUAUGUUCAUCUAUCUUUUAGUAAAUUUGGG